RNAcentral lists this ribosomal RNA (253 nucleotides) under uncultured bacterium. Its description in RNAcentral is "partial 16S ribosomal RNA". It matches the Rfam family "Bacterial small subunit ribosomal RNA", at positions 524 to 776 of the family's 1533-position model. The record is from RNAcentral.
GACAGAGGGUGCAAACGUUGCUCGGAAUCACUGGGCGUAAAGGGCGCGUAGGCGGCUUUGCAAGUGACGGGUGAAAUCCCUCGGCUUAACCGAGGAACUGCCUGUCAAACUGCAUGGCUUGAGACCGGGAGAGGUGAGUGGAAUUCCCAGUGUAGCGGUGAAAUGCGUAGAUAUUGGGAGGAACACCAGUGGCGAAGGCGGCUCACUGGACCGGUACUGACGCUGAUGCGCGAAAGCGUGGGGAGCAAACAGG